RNAcentral lists this ribosomal RNA (488 nucleotides) under uncultured bacterium. RNAcentral's name for it is "bacterial SSU rRNA". It matches the Rfam family "Bacterial small subunit ribosomal RNA", at positions 8 to 518 of the family's 1533-position model. The record is from RNAcentral.
AGAGUUGAUCAUGGCUCAGAACGAACGCUGGCGGCAUGGAUUAGGCAUGCAAGUCGAACGGUGCAGCAAUGCAUAGUGGCGCAAGGGUGAGGAACGCGUGAGUAAUCUGCCCUCAAGUUGGGAACAGCUUCUGGAAACGGAAAUUAAUACCGAAUGUGACCAUUGGAAGGCAUCUUUCAGUGGUUAAAGGCCGCAAGGUCGCUUGAGGAGGGGCUCGCGUCCCAUUAUGCUAGUUGGUGAGGUAACGGCCCACCAAGGCGAAGAUGGGUAGCUGGUCUGAGAGGACGAUCAGCCACACUGGGACUGAGAACUGCCCAGACUCCUACGGGAGGCUGCAGUCGAGAAUUUUGGGCAAUGGACGAAAGUCUGACCCAGCCAAUGCCGCGUGCGGGAUGAAGGUCUUCGGAUUGUAAACCGCUGUCAAGUGGGACGAAACAAAUGACGGUACCGCUGAAGGAAGUCACGGCUAACUACGUGCCAGCCGCUGC